CUGACUUGAAUUCAAGGGGGCUAAAGGGCUUGUUAUAGGAGAAAAUUCUUCAGGGAAAUGACAACACUUUCCUUUUUGCUGCAGCUACUUAGAGCAAAAGGGCAGAAAACUGAGAACAAUUUCUCACAGACUGCAGCUGAACACCAAGAACUCUUGCUGCCCUUGGAGUUCUUCUGCAAACAGACAUCGGCAUGCAGCAGGGACAGUGAGAACCCUGAGUGACCUGGGAGGGCCACACGCCUUCGGCAAACUGAUGCCUGCAGAGAGAACAAAGAAAGUUCAAGGCCACUUAGAAAGGAAUGCAAGCAUCGAAGCUGAAGAGGAGGCCCCCACCGUCGGAAAAAGUGAAUCUGGGUUGCAAGUGAGUGCACGGCCUCAACCCUGUGCUUGCCAUCCACCUGCCAAACCCUCAGUGAUUUUGUCUCCAUCCCUAGAAGUGCCACUACAGAACCAGAAUCCCAGCCUUGCCAUGCACUUGCCAGCCCCAGAGUGACUUUGUCUCCAUCCCUGGAAGUGCCAUCGCAGACCCAGACACCGCAAACAGCUCCUUCCCGGAUCCCGGUAACAGCAGCCAGUCCCCCCGGCACAACUCCAGCCCCCGCACCAGCCGCCGGCUCCCCCAGUAGCGGCGCAAGGCAGACGCGGGAGUCGCGUCCGUGCUCACCGGCGCUCCCCGGAUCAGCAGCCGCGGGGUUCCCAUCCCGGCGCAGCAGCGCUCCUCGGAUCGCGCACCCGCACAUUCCACGCCUCCCGACUCCGCCGCCGAACUGACGCCAGGAGCGCCUCAACGCACGCUAUUUAUGCCCCAAGCCGGACCACCCAGUCAAUCACAACCCGAGGCAGCGCCGGCCCCACCAAUCCCAGCCCGCCCGUUCCCGCCGCGCUCGGCUCCGCGCGCGCCCCCCCCCCCCCCCCUUCCCAUCCCGGUCCCCUCAAGCCCUGCUCCCGCCGCCGCCAUUGCAGGGGCCGAGUCCGCCCGCUCCCCGCCGUCUGCCCGUUUCCCUGGGAGAAAUCCCGGCCAGGACCUGAACGGGAAGCUUCCGCCCGCCCUUUCCGGCCCCAACAGCGCCUGCCGAGGCUGCGGCAGCGGGGACGCAGCUCCGCCGGCUUCCAAAGCGGCAAGUGGCGGCAGGGGCGGAGUGCGGCCGGUGGCGGCGGAGCGGCGCCGGGCUGAGGGGCCGAGCCGCGACUGAGCGGGCUGAGAUUGGCGGGACCGCGCCCGCAUUGAAAGGGCGGCUGUGAUUGGACGGGGCGGAGAAAGGCGGGCUGGGAUUAGCAGGGUUGGGAGCCGGGAGGCUGCGGCCCGUGGGAGCGUGGGGCGCAGCCCGGGCUGCUCGAAGGGCCCGCGGGCGCCCUGGGUCCCGCUCGCGAGACCCGCCCCCCGUCCCCUUCUCCGGCCCUCUCUCGUGUCCAGGUCCCGGCGAAAAGACCCCCGCAGAGCCCCGACCGGAGCGCCCCAUCGGCACUCGGGGCGGGGAGGGGCGUAGGUCGGGAGUGCUUGCGGCUCGCAGAGGCGGACUCUGCGGCAGCAGAGCGGACCGGGGAGCGGCGGCGACAUGUGCUUCCGCUUCUGCGGGACUUGGCCUGCCCCGACUGGCCGAGAUCAGCACGCUGGCCAAAAUAGUUAAGUGCCCGCGUCCCCCUGCCCGCCCUCCGCCUACUGCGGGCCCGCUGCUCACCCUCCUUCUCCCCCACAGUCGUCCGUUGUUAUAGGGGAUAAAACAAUAUUGGUUUUCACGUUCAUAGAUUCGCGUUUUGCAUCACAAGUAUUUCGAUAUGGUACAACUUAUACAUACUUUCAACUGCUUUGUAUAGUAUAAUAUGCCAGUUUAUAUAUGCACUGUAUAUUUCAUAUGAAUAGUAGUGUGAUAAAUAUAUCGUUGGCUUUGGCAAAAUGUUAAAAUAGAAACUAAAGUACUUCUAUGUAACUAACUCGGAGAAUGAUAUGAAACAAUUAUUCUGUUUUUUGUAUCUGCAGACUGGCCUUUCCAAGUGAUAAGGUAACAGUGACAAAAACAGAGCAUAAGCAUCCAGGAAGGAUUUAUCGACUGUAUUGGGAUUAUCAGGGAAUGUGAAGCACCAGGAUAAAACUACAGGAAGAAAUAAAAUAUGUAGACCUAAUUUACAGAAUGUUCUGCAGACAAGUCAGACGUUAAAAGGAAACAAGAGAGUUCCUCGAAUAUCAAAAACUCAAAUGAAUGUUUGAAUAAUGUAUAAUCUGAUGAAUAUGCAUGUAACCGUAUAUAGGGAACGUGUUUGCAAGCUACCUCUGCACUCUUUGGCUAUGCACCAAAUGCACCUCAGUGCUGGAUUAUUUUGUCUUUUUAUCCUUUAUUAAACUUUAAAAUAUUUUAAAGAGUGAACUCUUUAUCACAUCAGUGAAGCUUAAGCUGAUCUGCAUCCAGGUGCUGCAGAACCUACUGGGGGAGGCCCUUGAGCUAAGUGUGAAGCUACCGCAGUGGAGGACAAGUAUUUCAACACUACAGUAGCAUAAUCAGCAGCAUUAAUUAAUUUUGUGUUCUUCAUGUACGCCUUAGCAUUAAGAACACUACUGGCCUCUACUAGUAUUAAUAUGCACAGUAAGUGUUAUUAGUAUUAAUAUUUAGGUAAUAAUUGUUACUGUUAACACUGCUAGUGAGUGUGUUAGCUGGUGUUUACUGUGAAGCUCUGCUCUCCCACAGUAUGACAAGAUCCUGAAGCUGACCUCAGGUGCAAAGUUAGGUGAGCACUGCUGUCCUUACCACAAUCCCCCGAUGGAGCCAUGCUCCAGAGAUGGGCAGCAAUGAGUCUGCGGAUGCCUUCCCAAGGUGACAGAGCUCGCCCUCCCUCCCAUCUGCAGUCAGAGGAUGUGAAGGUCACUUUGGAGACAGCCCCUGAAAUCCAAGACCAAGAAGUGCCAUCGUCCUUGACAGCUGUCAUCUGGGAGGAAUCCUAUGACAUUUGUAAUUCAAGAAAACAAACUCAAAAUUUCAACACCUGAUACACAGACACAAGACUGCCAUUUUCCUGAGGGUCUUUGGAAAUCCUGCAGUGACUUGGAGACUGAGCAAGAGGAGUAUAGAAAACCCGGAACCUCUACUGCCAACUAAUAUCAAACACCUUGCUCUGGAGAAGAGAGAACAGCUUGUUUUCACAUGUCCAAAUUCCUUCAAGUUUUAGUAUCAUCUGUUUCCUGGCAUUGUGAGAAGUGUUUAGCACAACAGAGUGAAUAAAACAGUCCCAUUUUCAGAAGACACAACUGAACAAGAACAGACAGCAAAACUGCUUUGAGGCAAUUUGGGCACACAUUUCCCUUUCUGCAAUCUGAGCUUUCUUUUGUAUCAUGCCUGAAAUUCUGAGUUCCUUAGGGUUGCCCCAGUCCUUCCCUCUCAGUGCUGCUCUAAAAUGAUGAAAAUUAAACUAUUAUUUGUCAAAAACAACUAUGUUCCUCAUAGAAGACAAAUGUUUUUAUUCCAGGUAUGUUGGGGUGGGGGGAACCCAUAAAGGAUAUGGCUCUCUAUUACUUUAGUGUAAUUUAGACUAAUAAUUAAAAUGUGAAAAGACAUUACUAAUACUGUGGGAAAACCCAGAACCAUCUUGCAGUCAUAAAAAUUAGAACAGCCUAUGUUAUAUGUUACUGUUGCUCAUCAUUUUUUCUUGGUGUGGGACAACUGGCUUCAUACUUUUUCUUCAGGGCUUUCAAAUAUCCACGCAAACUGUCAGGGUCCAGUCGAGAAUUUCUGGCAGUCUGAACCAAUCUCAUUGCUAACUGGUAUGCAGCUCUCUGUUUCAUCAUCUCAGGAGUGCUCUUCUGCCUGUGCUGUUCUUAAAAAUAUAUAUACAUUAAAACAUGAAAUAAAUUAUGUUAUAUUACCAAAAAAAUACUAUUUUCCAGCCUGUUUUUGACCUCACAAUUCUUGGUUUGCAUACAAACAUUACACCCAAAACUCCUUUAUCCUAAGGGCCAUUUUGUGUUGUCAGCUAACAGUGACCUUCAGUAUAAUCUUUAAGAACUGGUUCCAGAAAUACAAAGUUUAACGAAAUCUGUUUUCAUUAAAACAUAGGCAGCGCUUAUCAUGUAACCUUUCAGAAACUGAAAAUACAUUUGAGUUGUAUAAAAACUGUGAAAUACAGCAUUAAAAUUUUCUACUACAUACCAAAAUUUGUUUUGCAAUGUGACAUGUGAUUUCCUUUGCAUCCAAAAUUAUGGACGAUGGUAGGGAAGACAUUUCUGCAGCUUUUAGUCCUAAACAUAUAAAACACAAAUCACGAUUUUUAAAUGUCAUUUUUAUCCCUACCUUCCAUUUUAUGUCUUCCAGAAUUAACUUAGCCUGUUUUUCUAAGGGGUCAAGAUUUAAUUUUAAUUAAAAUAAUUUCAGUGUA
This is a long non-coding RNA of Passer domesticus (house sparrow), 4362 nucleotides long. RefSeq lists it as uncharacterized. The transcript has 10 exons. The record is from RefSeq and is a predicted model, not a curated record. Lineage: Eukaryota; Metazoa; Chordata; Aves; Passeriformes; Passeridae.